Anolis carolinensis (green anole) is the source of this 972-nucleotide long non-coding RNA. RefSeq lists it as uncharacterized. The record is from RefSeq and is a predicted model, not a curated record. The transcript has 3 exons. NCBI's taxonomy places the organism in Eukaryota, Metazoa, Chordata, Lepidosauria, Squamata, Anolidae.
GGUGUCAUGUAUCAUGUUCCACAGUUGAUGGUGGUUGGAGACGUCAGGCCUAGCAGUUGGUGAUGGAAGGGGUUAAUGUAAGUUCUACAGGGCUGAGUAAUCUGUAAGUAGGAGUUACAGGUAAAAGCAAGUAAGGGUGAAGGCAUGCAAGAGAUAGGUUGCAGCUGGGUUGUACUGGAUAUAAAGAGCUGGUAUGGAGAAUGAUCUUUAAGAGAAAAGUACUUUGGUUCUACUUUGGUUGUGGAUGCUGCUGGUUUUUCCCCGGGUUUGUGAAUUUUUGGUAUCCUGGCUUGUUUCCUGAAUUCCUGGAACCUGGAACCUCUGGACUGGUCAUUGACUAUGAUAUUAAUAAUAUAGAUAGCAAGGUUUAUUCAAGUCUGACCCUACAAUCUGGUGAUAUUUCUGGGUGAUACAUCUGGGAGAACGAAGACAGAGGAGCUGAAGGCCACGCAUGUACUACUCAGCAGAGGACAGCACUUUAUAUGAAGUGUUCAACUGUCUCUAAGAUAGUCUCAAUAUUUAACUCUGACUGGACUUGAAUAUAGAUCCGACUGAACUUGAAUACAGCUUUGACUGGACUUGCUAUUUUGUACAUCUUCCAUCCUUCCUUUCUCUUCACCCUCAGUGAAGGCUGACUCUUCCAAGAACCAAAAGUGCCUUGUGUGAGUGUCUUCAUGGGGCAUGACAAGGAGGGUGUGAUAUAAAUAUAAGGACAACUAGUGUAUUAAUAUAGCAACAACAGGUAAAUGUAUAAUUAAAUAAAAGUCCUAAUAAUUUAUAUGAUCAUACUCAAAACAGUGUGUCAUUGUCUUUUUUAAGUCUGCUUGUUUACGCUGUUAAAGAUCUAUGUAAAAAAAUAUAAACUUAGAUUUUGACUAAAGUGUUAGUGGGUUGCAACCAAGCAUAAUCUGGAUCACAAACAGCACAGUCAGCUAUUCUGUGCUGAGCUUCACCAUGGAGCUUAGGGGAAAU